Molecule: unclassified non-coding RNA, 329 nt
Filed under: soil metagenome
Description: partial contains 5.8S ribosomal RNA, internal transcribed spacer 2, and large subunit ribosomal RNA
Rfam family: 5.8S ribosomal RNA (bases 1-120)
Source: RNAcentral
GAUGAAGAACGUAGCGAAAUGCGAUAAUUAAUGUGAAUUGCAGAAUUCCGUGAAUCAUCGAAUCUUUGAACGCACAUUGCGCCCCUUGGUAUUCCGAGGGGCAUGCCUGUUCGAGCGUCAUUAUAACCCCUCAAGCUCAGCUUGGUGUUGGGGCCUGCUGCACUGGCAGCCCUUAAAAUCAGUGGCGGCGCCAUCUGGCUCUAAGCGUAGUAAUUCUUCUCGCUAUGGAGUCCUGGUGGAUGCUUGCCAUCAACCCCCAAUUUUUCUAUGGUUGACCUCGGAUCAGGUAGGGAUACCCGCUGAACUUAAGCAUAUCAAUAAGCGGAGGA